RNAcentral lists this long non-coding RNA (1215 nucleotides) under Gallus gallus (chicken). Lineage: Eukaryota; Metazoa; Chordata; Aves; Galliformes; Phasianidae. The record is from RNAcentral.
CCAACUCCCAUUCCAAUAAUACUAAUGCCCAGACCACUGUCACCUUUUUCAAUUUCCACAGGAAAUACUUCCAUUUUUUCCACCCUUUUCUCAAGUUCAUAUUCAGCUGAGGCUGCCACAGGGUCAACUUCUUCGUUACGUCUAUCAUAAUCUUCAUUGGAGUAAGUACUGAAAACCUUGAUAGGAGCUGUUGAGAACUUCACUUUUCGGUCUGGCUCAGGAUCUUCCUCUUCAGAAAGUCCAGGAAACUCCUCGUACUCACUGUCAUACAUAUAUUCCUCCUCUUCCUCCAAAAUUUCGUUGUCUUCAGGGUCUUGGUUCUCUGUAUCCCUAUAAUCAUCAAAAGCUGCAUUUUCUAUUCCGAAAGCACAGAAGCCAUCCCUCUGUUUUUCUACUACUUGCUCCUCUUCUUCAGUAUCCCCCUCUUGCUGUAGAACAUCCUGAACUGGAACAUCUUUCACAGUCAUCCCAUCUCUCACUUCUUCCUGAUUGGUUCCCUUUCUUUCUGUAAACUCUUCUACUACCUCCAAGGAAUAGCUGCUCCCUUUCCCUUCUUGUAUUUGAUAUUUGAGUGGUUGAUCCUCAUUAACAACAUGACCUUUCUCCAAACCCUCUUUUCCAUGCCCUGAGGUUUCAUCUUGCACAGACAGCUCCACACAAGUCUCCUCAACAGGGGAAACCUGGGAAAGAGCAGUCUCUGUUCUCCACUUUGCCUCCUGACUGGAUAUACUGCUCAUAUCCUGUAGGCUUCUCCCCAGUACCGCUUUCUCUCUCUUGUCUUUUUCAAAUACUUCACUCAGCUCAUCUCUGUCAAUCACAGGCACUUCAGCGGAUGCAAUCUUCUCUGGACUUCUUUGAACAGUAGUAGAUGAAUCCAAACUGCAGUGGCCUCUCAAAGGGCCCUGAUCCAGGCCAUCAUUUUUGGAAAUUUCUUUGGAAUCUUCAGUAUCACUGUCACCCAGAAAGCUUUCCAGCCUCCUAGAAAUGGGCCCAGCAUUCAAGAAGGAGGUUUUGGAGCCAUUACUGGGAUGCUGCUGCUUCAGCUCACUACCUUGAUUUUCAACUUUAUCCAGUGCAAGUGAAGGACUCACAUCUGUAUUAAAAUUGAAGUGGUCUACAACACUACUACAAUCGGAAGCCGAACCGUGUCUCCUCUUAUCUUCACUUCUUUCACAUUUGCUGGGAGAAUAUCUGUCCACAGAGCUUCGCUGUUUU